UUCCGGUUGAUCCUGCCGGACCCUACUGCUAUCGGGGUGGGACUAAGACAUGCAAGUCGUGCGUCUCUAAGCCAUGGUAGAGACGCGGCGUACGGCUCAGUAACACGUGGUUAACCUACCCUUAGGACGGGGACAACCCCGGGAAACUGGGGCUAAUUUCUGAUAGGUGAGGAGGCCUGGAAUGGUUCUUCGCCGAAAAGGCGUUGAAACCACGCUUUUCAACGUCGCCUAAGGAUGGGGCCGCGCCCGAUCAGGUUGUUGGUGAGGUAACGGCUCACCAAGCCUAUAACCGGUACGGGCCGUGAGAGCGGGAGCCCGGAGAUGGGCACUGAGACAAGGGCCCAGGCCCUACGGGGCGCAGCAGUCGCGAAAACUCCGCAAUGCGCGAAAGCGUGACGGGGCUACCCCGAGUGCCGUCCGCUGAGGAUGGCUUUUCCCCGGUGUAAUGAGCCGGGGGAAUAAGGAGAGGGCAAGACUGGUGUCAGCCGCCGCGGUAAUACCAGCUCUCCGAGUGGUAGGGACGAUUAUUGGGCUUUAAGCGUCCGUAGCCGGCUUAGCAAGUCUCCUGUUAAAUUCAGCGACUUAAUCGUUGAGCCGCGGGAGAUACUACUAGGCUAGGAGGCGGGAGAGGCCGACGGUAUUCCCGGGGGAGGGGUGAAAUCCUAUAAUCCCGGGAGGACCACCAGUGGCGAAGGCUGUCGGCUAGAACGCGCUCGACGGUGAGGGACGAAAGCUGGGGGAGCGAACCGGAUUAGAUACCCGGGUAGUCCCAGCUGUAAACGAUGCGGGCUAGGUGUUGAGGUGGCUACGAGCCACUUCAGUGCCGCAGGGAAGCCAUUAAGCCCGCCGCCUGGGGAGUACAGCCGCAAGGCUGAAACUUAAAGGAAUUGGCGGGGGAGCA
Molecule: ribosomal RNA, 901 nt
Filed under: uncultured archaeon
Lineage: Archaea
Description: bacterial SSU rRNA
Rfam family: Archaeal small subunit ribosomal RNA
Source: RNAcentral